AAAAUGAAUUACAAUAAGCUGUUUGUCUCUUCAGGCUGAGAAUCAUGAAUAAUGCUGCUGAAGAUCAACAGGUUUCUCUCACUUGUCGAAUGUCUUCUUUCAGAUUGUGGAGGAAGCUCCUACAAGAAGCUUGAGUUUGAUCCAGAAUGGCUGGCCAUCUUGAAAGCGACAGACAACCUUCAAAAACCAUCCACCAGUUUCUGGAACCCUCUGUUGGACAACACAGCAGACACAAAACACAUAACAACGAUUUACUGAUAGCUUUCUAAUACUACUGUACCCUUUUCACAAGCCUGACGUGUUUAGCUGUCUUCGGCAUCUGAAAUCCUUAAAAAUUUUUAACGUUUUGUUUU
Non-coding RNA from Danio rerio (zebrafish), 353 nucleotides. Lineage: Eukaryota; Metazoa; Chordata; Actinopteri; Cypriniformes; Danionidae. The record is from RefSeq and is a predicted model, not a curated record.